UUCCAGUAAUGUUAGAUUCUGGAAUACAACGAAUUUGAGAUUGUAGAUGGAGAUUGAUUUCCUUCAAACCCCAUCAUAAAUAAUUCUCGCUCAGGUGAUGUAACCCUCACUGAUAGAUGGGGGUACUGGGGAUCUGAUUGAGAUGAUCUCGUAUCGGUAAGCAAAGAAACAAGUCGACUGGUCGACUGACAGUGUUAGCCGUUUCAUAACCGGUUCGCAUUUGAUUGAUUUCUGAAACAAACUCGUAAAUGCAUGCAUUUCAAAGUGGAGCAGAGUUUUGAGAGCUGAGCUGAUCUGAUCUGAUUCCGGUUCCAAUUGCCACAAACAAGAGCCAUUUCUCAGCCGUCAUGUGCACUACUCCGAAUACUUCGAUUUAGAGGCUUGUUUACUCGAUAGGAAAAACAUAUUUUAACCAGUUUCAUUGCGUAUCUAAUCGGAAUACAAAUUAAAAGUGGAGUGGCUUUGUCGCUGGAAUUUAACACGCCCACAAAUGCGAAUCAGCUAUGGUCAUCGUCAGGUGGUGGUGGCGCCGUUAUGAUAAAUACUUGGGGUUUAUUUUGGGUGCAGAAAAUCAGAGAAGCAGAGAAGAAACCAGUUUGCGCGAAAUUAACCCAAAAAUGUCGGCUUAAACCUUGGCCGAACGCAGAUGCAACCAAAAACAGACCCCGCACUCUUCUUUUUUUUUUUUUUGGCACGUGAGUGGUUUGUCGUUUGGGCUGGAAAUACUCGCAAAAUACAGAACUCUUCAUUUGCGGCAACAUUGUUGCUGUGCAACAUGCUGCCAACAAACCUGUUGUCUGCCGACAGGCGAAAGAAGUUGCUCGCUCGAGCUCCAAACUCGAUUCGAAGAGAGCGUCCGGCCCCCUACCAGAAAAGCUUAGCUAAGAGACUGAGCGCCAAAGAGAGAGUGGGCGGCGAACGCACUUCUCUCUCUCUCUAUCACUCUCUCGGCAACUUCUUUUCGUGCGCGCUGCUCGGUUCUAUGGUCUGUUUCGUCAUGCCAGUCGCUCGAGCGACUUGUUUGAAAAUAGCAGCAGCAGCAGUGGCAAAAAGUUCGAUAAACGUCAAAGCUCUUACAGCAAAUAUUUGAAAAGAUUUGAAAGCAAUAUAGAGAGUGUGACGGCAGCAGUGUAAACAAUCGGAGCACUGUUUGCUGUUUACGUGCAACGAAACGAAAGGAAAACCAAUAGAAAAAUCUAUAUAGUAUUCGUAUUCAAAAAGCGCACCAAAGCAGAGAGCGUGAUAAAACGUGUGGCAACAACAGAAGCACAAAACGGCAAACCCACACACACACACACACACACACACA
Long non-coding RNA from Drosophila obscura, 1309 nucleotides. RefSeq lists it as uncharacterized. Lineage: Eukaryota; Metazoa; Arthropoda; Insecta; Diptera; Drosophilidae. The record is from RefSeq and is a predicted model, not a curated record. The transcript has 2 exons.